This 800-nucleotide ribosomal RNA is filed under the name uncultured Clostridia bacterium. Its description in RNAcentral is "bacterial SSU rRNA". It matches the Rfam family "Bacterial small subunit ribosomal RNA", at positions 64 to 880 of the family's 1533-position model. Lineage: Bacteria; Bacillati; Bacillota; Clostridia. The record is from RNAcentral.
GAUUUAGUAAACAGAAGCCUCGGUGGAAGAUUACUAAUGAGAGUGGCGAACGGGUGAGUAACGCGUGAGCAACCUGCCUAUGACAGUGGGAUAGCCUCGGGAAACCGGGAUUAAUACCGCAUAAAAUCGUAGAAACACAUGUUUCAACGGUCAAAGAUUUAUCGGUCAUAGAUGGGCUCGCGUCUGAUUAGCUAGUUGGUGAGAUAACAGCCCACCAAGGCGACGAUCAGUAGCCGGUCUGAGAGGAUGAACGGCCACAUUGGAACUGAGACACGGUCCAAACUCCUACGGGAGGCAGCAGUGGGGAAUAUUGCACAAUGGGGGAAACCCUGAUGCAGCGACGCCGCGUGAACGAAGAAGGUAUUCGUAUCGUAAAGUUCUGUCCUAUGGGAAGAUAAUGACAGUACCAUAGAAGAAAGCUCCGGCUAAAUACGUGCCAGCAGCCGCGGUAAUACGUAUGGAGCGAGCGUUGUCCGGAAUUAUUGGGCGUAAAGGGUACGCAGGCGGUUUAAUAAGUCGAAUGUUAAAGAUCGGGGCUCAACCCCGUAAAGCAUUGGAAACUGAUAAACUUGAGUAGUGGAGAGGAAAGUGGAAUUCCUAGUGUAGUGGUGAAAUACGUAGAUAUUAGGAGGAAUACCAGUAGCGAAGGCGACUUUCUGGACACAAACUGACGCUGAGGUACGAAAGCGUGGGGAGCAAACAGGAUUAGAUACCCUGGUAGUCCACGCCGUAAACGAUGAGUGCUAGGUAUCGGAAAAAUUCGGUGCCGCAGUUACACAUUAAGCACUCCGCCUGGGGAU